AAAUGGAAAUGACAUCGAAGAACAAGUAUACAAUUACAAUUGUACAUAUAUGGAAAAAGAAAAAUUAUUUAAUUAAAUUUUUGUGUACAUAUACAUACGUAUAUGUAUAUUGUAAGUAUUUAUCUACAUACAACCUUACACUGAUAAUAAAAUUAUCUAUUUAAAUACGCCGAUUGAUAAGAAGAAAAAAAACAGGGGUAUUAAGUAAGCACUGACCUUCAUGACAUAAUUAUAAACAAAUAAAAGGUAUUUAAUCUUUCUUUAAAGAAAUAUGUGUAUGUUAGAAACAUAUCUUUAUCCAUAUAUGUAUUUCUUUAUCUAUUUCGAUAUCAUGUAAUUUGAAUUUGAAUUGCAUCAGGAUCAGGAAUUUUUCGUUCAUUGGUAUUGAAACAUAUUUAUAUAUAUACAUAUAGCAAUUAUUCAACAAAAUUUUAUAGGUAUUAGUAUCUUUCAUAUAUCAAAUAAGAAUUUUUCAUAACAAAAUCCUCUUGUAUUUAUUUCAUUUAAAAAAAACAACUUAGGAUUUGCGAACCAACCUGUAUUUUGACCAAUUUUGACUUGGCACACGUGUAUUAUCUUUCACAUGUAUAACCUACAUUUAUUUUUCAUUCAAAACCUUUAUAAAUAAUAUUGUAUGAACCAGGAAAGAAUUUAUUUAUUUAUAUCAUCUUUCAGAUGAUGCACACUCAAAAAGAAAUCCAAAAAAUUUAUAUAUAUAGAUAAUACUUACACGUGUGUAUUUUUUAUUAUAUACCAAUUUAUAUUUUUCCUCAUUUAUAUAAAAAAAUUACAUUACUGUAAUAUAACUUCAUAAACUUGUGGUAUAAAAAGCAGCAGGUGAAAUGGUUUCUCAAAUAUUUGAUGAAUCUCCUAAAGAAAUGCAGUUAAUAAGUUCAGAUGAUGAAUCGCAUGCUAUUAAACAAGUUAAUAGUAUUGAAAAAGUACAAAUGAGAAAGCAGCUCGGUCUUUUAGAGGGAGUUGCAAUUAUUUUAGGAAUCAUAUGUGGUUCUGGUAUUUUCAUUUCACCAAAAGGGAUCAUUACAGAAGUAGGAAGCGUCGGAGUAUCUUUAGUUGUAUGGGUUCUGUGUGGUUUACUUUCUAUGGUUGGAGCAUUAUGUUAUGCUGAAUUAGGAACUUGUAUACCUCGUAGUGGCGGAGAUUAUGCUUAUAUUUAUGAAGCUUUUGGAGCAUUGCCUGCUUUUCUCUAUUUAUGGGCUGCUAACUUAAUAUUUAUACCAACUACAAAUGCCAUCAUGGGUUUAACUUUUGCUCAAUAUGUUUUACAACCAUUCUUUUCAAACUGCACUAUCCCAGUUGAUGGUAUACGCUUACUAGCAGCAGUAACUAUUUGUCUACUUACAUUUGCGAACUGUUAUGAUGUCAAAGAAACAUCAAAAAUGCAAAAUGUAUUUAUGUUUGCUAAAAUUGGUGCAUUAGUAAUUAUAAUUAUUGCUGGACUAGUUUGGAUAAUGCUAGGACAUACGGAAAAUUUUGAAAAUGCUUUUGAAAAUACAAUUACGGAACCGGGUAAAAUUGCAGUGGCCUUUUACUCUGGUAUAUUCUCAUACUCUGGGUGGAAUUACCUAAAUUUUAUGACCGAAGAAUUAAAAGAUCCUUACGUGAAUUUACCGCGAGCUAUUUAUAUAUCAUUACCUUUAGUUACUUUUAUCUAUGUAUUGGCAAAUGUAGCUUAUUUGUCAGUUUUAACACCAACCGAAAUGAUUUCUUCUCAUGCAAUUGCUGUGACGUUUGGUGACCAACUUCUUGGCAUAAUGGCAUGGACGAUUCCUGUUAUGGUCGCUGUAUCUGCAUUUGGAGGAUUAAGUGUUCACAUUAUGACAUCAUCUCGGAUGUGUUUUGUAGGUGCUAGAAAUGGUCAUUUUCCUUCAAUGUUAAGUCAUAUUAAUGUUUCAAGACUUACACCUACACCUGCCUUAGUUUUUCUUUGUUUUUUGUCUUUAAUAAUGUUAUGUACAAGUGAUAUUUUUGUAUUAAUCACAUACUGCAGCAUAGUUGAAUCGUUUUUCAUCAUGUUAUCGGUAGCCGGUGUAUUAUGGCUUCGUUACAAAAAACCUAAUAUGAAUCGACCAAUUAAGAUAAAUUUAUAUUGCAGAUGCCUUUGUGGAUUCCUGUUACAUUUGUUGCCAUAUGUGGGUUUUUAGUAUUUGUUCCUUGCUACGAACGACCGUAUGAAGUUGGUAUUGGGGCUUUAAUAACUUUAUCUGGAGUUCCAGCUUAUUUUGUUGGCGUCGAAUGGAAAAACAAACCUUUAUGGUUUCAACAGCUUAAUCUUCAACUUACUUAUACCGUACAAAAAUUAUUUAUGUCUGCCACUGAGGAACGUGAUUAUUAAAUUUAAGUAUUAUAAAUUUUUAAAUAAUUCAAAUUGCAUAAAAUUUCAGUCUUCUACUGCGAUUCUAAUGAAAUAUUUAUAGUAACCUGUGUGUUGCUAACAAUUACCACAGAACUGUGUUCUUUGUAAACAAAAGUUUACAAUAUACAUGUAAGUACAAUUGCUCUCUUAUUUGUAAAAUUGAAUAUUUAUAGUUACUUAUUAUUAUUUAUUUGAAAAAAUAGUUAUACCCCCAUCGUAGUUUAAUUAUUUUGCUGUUGUUUUUAAUAACUAUGUACAUGUUCAUGCAAAAAUGACCAAAAAUUUACAUAUUCUUUUAUUGUGAAGAUGUGUUCUUAUAAGUAUUAUUCUGUUUCUUGUUCUUUAUUCAUUACCCCAAGAAAUAAAAAAUAUAAAAAUAAAUCUAUGCUAACUUAAGAAAUGUAUAAAUUUAUUGGAUAUUAAACAUAUCUCAAUUAGAUAUAAUUUCAAAGCAAAGAUAUAUUAUUUAAAUAAUUGCAAACGAAAUAUUAAAAAUAAAAUAUUCUAUGAUUCGUAAUGUAUAUGUUUAUUUACAUAACUAAUUUUUAUAUUUGCAAAUGUUUAGCAGAACACAUUUCUCAAAAUUGAUAUAUACAUUUUACAGGGAAACUAAUCAGUUACUGUAAAUAUAAAAUAAUGGUAUGUUGUAUGUGUUUCUAUUUUUUCUGAACAGACUAUAACAGUGACAUUACAUAUAGAUAUCAACAAAUAACAUACAGGUCACCGUUUUUCUUUUUAUAUAUAUUCAUUAAUGUAUAUCUUCUGGGUUAAACAUUCC
Molecule: non-coding RNA, 3152 nt
Organism: Osmia lignaria (orchard mason bee)
Lineage: Eukaryota; Metazoa; Arthropoda; Insecta; Hymenoptera; Megachilidae
Source: RefSeq, a predicted model, not a curated record